RNAcentral lists this ribosomal RNA (628 nucleotides) under Callimerus sp. G0142. Its description in RNAcentral is "partial 28S large subunit ribosomal RNA". It matches the Rfam family "Eukaryotic large subunit ribosomal RNA", at positions 656 to 1239 of the family's 3401-position model. The record is from RNAcentral. Lineage: Eukaryota; Metazoa; Arthropoda; Insecta; Coleoptera; Cleridae.
GAAACACGGACCAAGGAGUCUAGCAUGUGCGCGAGUCAUUGGGAAUAACUAAACCUAAAGGCGUAAUGAAAGUAAAGGUCAGCCCAGCGCUGACCGAGGGAAGAUGAACGGUCACGGUUUCCGUGCCGUUCCGCACUCCCGGGGCGUCUCAUUCUCAUUGCGAGAAGAGGCGCACCAAGAGCGUACACGCUGGGACCCGAAAGAUGGUGAACUAUGCCUGGUCAGGACGAAGUCAGGGGAAACCCUGAUGGAGGUCCGUAGCGAUUCUGACGUGCAAAUCGAUCGUCGGAACUGGGUAUAGGGGCGAAAGACUAAUCGAACCAUCUAGUAGCUGGUUCCCUCCGAAGUUUCCCUCAGGAUAGCUGGCGCUCGUCGCCUACGAGUCUCAUCCGGUAAAGCGAAUGAUUAGAGGCAUUGGGGUCGAAACGGCCUCAACCUAUUCUCAAACUUUAAAUGGGUGAGAUCUCCGGCUUGCUCGAACUUAUGAAGCCGCGAGACACGGAUCAGAGUGCCAAGUGGGCCAUUUUUGGUAAGCAGAACUGGCGCUGUGGGAUGAACCAAACGCCGAGUUAAAGCGCCUAAAUCGACGCUUAUGGGAUACCAUGAAAGGCGUUGGUAACUUAAAACA